RNAcentral lists this unclassified non-coding RNA (391 nucleotides) under soil metagenome. RNAcentral describes it as "partial contains 5.8S ribosomal RNA, internal transcribed spacer 2, and large subunit ribosomal RNA". The stretch from base 1 to 122 matches the Rfam family "5.8S ribosomal RNA", at positions 35 to 154 of the family's 154-position model. The record is from RNAcentral.
GAUGAAGAACGCAGCGAAAUGCGAUACUUGGUGUGAAUUGCAGAAUCCCGUGAACCAUCGAGUCUUUGAACGCAAGUUGCGCCCGAAGCCACUAGGCCGAGGGCACGCCUGCCUGAGCGUCACACGCCGUUGCCCCCCCAUCUACUCCUUCGGGAUUGCGGGGGGGCGGAUGAUGGCCUCCUGUGCGCCUAGCCGCGCGGUUGGCAUAAAUACCAAGUCCUCGGCGACGCACGCCACGACAAUCGGUGGUUGCGAAACCUCGGUUGCCCGUCGUGUGCGUUCGUCGCGCAUCGAGGGCUCGAAAAAAUGCUCGGCUCCGGCUGGGCUUUCAACGCGACCCCAGGUCAGGCGGGGUUACCCGCUGAAUUUAAGCAUAUCAAUAAGCGGAGGA